This 460-nucleotide ribosomal RNA is filed under the name uncultured bacterium. RNAcentral describes it as "partial 16S ribosomal RNA". It matches the Rfam family "Bacterial small subunit ribosomal RNA", at positions 338 to 795 of the family's 1533-position model. The record is from RNAcentral.
CCUACGGGAGGCAGCAGUGAGGAAUAUUGGUCAAUGGGCGAGAGUCUGAACCAGCCAAGUAGCGUGAAGGAUGACUGCCCUAUGGGUUGUAACCUUCUUUUAUAAAGGAAUAAAGCGAGGCACGUGUGCCUUUUUGUAUGGACUUUAUGAAUAAGGAUCGGCUAACUCCGUGCCAGCAGCCGCGGUAAUACGGAGAAUCCGAGCGUUAUCCGGAUUUAUUGGGUGUAAAGGGAGCGUAGAUGGGUUGUUAAGUCAGUUGUGAAAGUUUGCGGCUCAACCGUAAAAUUGCAAUUGAUACUGGCAGUCUUGAGUACAGUUGAGGUAGGCGGAAUUCGAGGUGUAGCGGUGAAAUGCUUAGAUAUCACGAAGAACCCCGAUUGCGAAGGCAGCUUACUAAACUGUGACUGACAUUGAUGCUCGAAAGUGUGGGUAUCAAACAGGAUUAGAUACCCGUGUAGUC